CUUGGGGUUCUUAGGCCCAACCGGCGAAAGUAGACUCGGCCCUAACCAUCUUGACGCUGCAAUUUUUGUUUCUGGAUAUCUGAACUGGGGCCUGAUUCCCUAGAGAGAGUCUGGGGAUGAGUUUCCCGGCCUGAGGCUGGGAAGUGAGUGCUGUGAGUGGGGAAAUAAGCUGAACAUGAAUCCUGGCUCGGUAGUCGCGUUUUCAGUUCUCGCAGACCUGCGGUCUCGGCUUGGAGCGAUCGGGGAGAGGGCGGAGUCCCCCGGCGGAGGUGAAGCGAGUUCUGUGUUCUGGCAGCGUUUCCAGCCUGGAAGAAGAUGCGCUCUGUAAUGCUUUUCUGAAUUGCAUUCGGCGAAAGGAAUAGGGAACUGCGUUUAUUCCUUCACCAGAUUUGAGGGCGUCUUCUGCGUGCCAGGCUGCCUGGUAUUGGGCUUCUUUGGGCCAUUUAUGACUUUCUUCUUUUCUCAUUCCCCCCCCCCCCCCACGAGUAAGUAGAAAUAAGUGAAGACUUAGCUGUGAGCGUCUAGUAUGCAGGUGUAUGCUGAGUGGUAUGAGGGUUCAACAGAUACUCCAAACACUUGAAAAUAAAGAUUGUCCUGUAACAAUUCCAUUACAGGUUAGUGCAGUGGAUCAAACCAGAAGUGAAUCUCUCUGGCCAGAGCAAACCUUACUAGGAAAAAUAACGUAUCUAACUCAGGAAUUGAGCUGAAAAAAUCCUGGGAAAUAAAUACUUCUAAAAUGAAAA
Molecule: non-coding RNA, 743 nt
Organism: Callithrix jacchus (white-tufted-ear marmoset)
Lineage: Eukaryota; Metazoa; Chordata; Mammalia; Primates; Cebidae
Source: RefSeq, a predicted model, not a curated record